UAAUUAGCCCAGAAGACUGCAAUUCGCCGGCUAGCAAAGACACCCGCGGUGGGGAAACUUGACAAUUUAUUCCCGGGCCCGGGGGAGGUCACCCGCAGUGCACCAGCGGAUUGGCUGCGGCGCGGGUUGCGGCGGCAGAGCGCGCAGGCAGAGCGCGCGCCGCUUCUGAUCCGCUCUGCCAUCCCGGCCAGGCAGGGGCAGGGAGGGCCGCCCUGAAGCAGCCCGCGGCUCAGAACCGUGUGAAAGGGACGGUGUCGGUGCUGGAACCACGAAACUGCCCCACUUCUCCAGAUUGGGUGGUUUGGAAGAAAUGCUCUUUGCUGUUUGGGUUUUUAGACGUCACACUCUCUGUGUCUUCCAGUUGACAAUGGGCUCAAGCCAUUUACAGCCGGAAGAUGUUCUGAAUGAAGUAUCCACUCCAACUUCAUGUUACAGAGGAGGGAACUGAAGCAGAAAGGAUGAAGGAACUGUGAAGAGCAUUACGAGUGUAACCCAAGACUCCAGGAAACAUUUGAUUCAUCUGAUCAACCAUCUUUGAUCUCAAAGUUGGCCGAGAUGUUGUUGAAGAACCUAUUUGAACACCUAGGCCACAAAAAUAUGCCUUUUCCUUCCACUCAAGGAGACAGCACAGUGCGGCAGUUCAGUGUGAGGGUGUGGAGGGGACUGCCUUGUUCAAAUUCCAGUUCUGGCACCUGCUAGAUGGGUGGACUUUGAGCAAGUUUCAAUGUCUGAAUUUCUCUAUUUGCAAAACAAAUACAAUAAGAUGAUCAGAUUGAACCAUA
Molecule: non-coding RNA, 782 nt
Organism: Macaca mulatta (Rhesus monkey)
Lineage: Eukaryota; Metazoa; Chordata; Mammalia; Primates; Cercopithecidae
Source: RefSeq, a predicted model, not a curated record